Molecule: ribosomal RNA, 880 nt
Filed under: Mycobacterium sp.
Lineage: Bacteria; Bacillati; Actinomycetota; Actinomycetes; Mycobacteriales; Mycobacteriaceae
Description: bacterial SSU rRNA
Rfam family: Bacterial small subunit ribosomal RNA
Source: RNAcentral
UGCAAGUCGAACGGUAAGGCCCUUCGGGGUACACGAGUGGCGAACGGGUGAGUAACACGUGGGUGAUCUGCCCUGCACUUUGGGAUAAGCCUGGGAAACUGGGUCUAAUACCGAAUAUGACCGCGCGAUGCAUGUCGUGUGGUGGAAAGCUUUUGCGGUGUGGGAUGGGCCCGCGGCCUAUCAGCUUGUUGGUGGGGUGAUGGCCUACCAAGGCGACGACGGGUAGCCGGCCUGAGAGGGUGACCGGCCACACUGGGACUGAGAUACGGCCCAGACUCCUACGGGAGGCAGCAGUGGGGAAUAUUGCACAAUGGGCGCAAGCCUGAUGCAGCGACGCCGCGUGAGGGAUGACGGCCUUCGGGUUGUAAACCUCUUUCAGCAGGGACGAAGGGUGACUGACGGUACCUGUAGAAGAAGGACCGGCCAACUACGUGCCAGCAGCCGCGGUAAUACGUAGGGUCCGAGCGUUGUCCGGAAUUACUGGGCGUAAAGAGCUCGUAGGUGGUUUGUCGCGUUGUUCGUGAAAACUCACAGCUCAACUGUGGGCGUGCGGGCGAUACGGGCAGACUGGAGUACUGCAGGGGAGACUGGAAUUCCUGGUGUAGCGGUGGAAUGCGCAGAUAUCAGGAGGAACACCGGUGGCGAAGGCGGGUCUCUGGGCAGUAACUGACGCUGAGGAGCGAAAGCGUGGGGAGCGAACAGGAUUAGAUACCCUGGUAGUCCACGCCGUAAACGGUGGGUACUAGGUGUGGGUUUCCUUCCUUGGGAUCCGUGCCGUAGCUAACGCAUUAAGUACCCCGCCUGGGGAGUACGGCCGCAAGGCUAAAACUCAAAGAAAUUGACGGGGGCCCGCACAAGCGGCGGAGCAUGUGGAUUAAUU